RNAcentral lists this ribosomal RNA (347 nucleotides) under uncultured cyanobacterium. RNAcentral's name for it is "bacterial SSU rRNA". It matches the Rfam family "Bacterial small subunit ribosomal RNA", at positions 28 to 404 of the family's 1533-position model. The record is from RNAcentral. Lineage: Bacteria; Bacillati; Cyanobacteriota.
GAUGAACGCUGGCGGUCUGCUUAACACAUGCAAGUCGAACGAACUCUUCGGAGUGAGUGGCGGACGGGUGAGUAACGCGUGAGAAUCUGGCUGUGGGUCGGGGACAACCACUGGAAACGGUGGCUAAUACCGGAUGAGCCGAAAGGUAAAAGAUUUAUUGCCCACAGAUGAGCUCGCGUCUGAUUAGCUAGUUGGUAAGGUAAAAGCGUACCAAGGCGACGAUCAGUAGCUGGUCUGAGAGGAUGAGCAGCCACACUGGGACUGAGACACGGCCCAGACUCCUACGGGAGGCAGCAGUAAGGAAUAUUGGGCAAUGGACGGAAGUCUGACCCAGCCAUGCCGCGUGC